UACGUAGGGGGCAAGCGUUGUCCGGAAUCAUUGGGCGUAAAGCGCGUGUAGGCGGCUGACUAAGUCCGCUCUGAAAGCCCGGGGCUCAACCCCGGGAGGCGGGUGGAUACUGGUCAGCUCGAGUCCGGAAGAGGCGAGUGGAAUUCCUGGUGUAGCGGUGAAAUGCGCAGAUAUCAGGAGGAACACCGAUUGCGAAGGCAGCUCGCUGGGACGUCACUGACGCUGAGACGCGAAAGCGUGGGGAGCAAACAGG
RNAcentral lists this ribosomal RNA (253 nucleotides) under uncultured bacterium. RNAcentral's name for it is "partial 16S ribosomal RNA". It matches the Rfam family "Bacterial small subunit ribosomal RNA", at positions 524 to 776 of the family's 1533-position model. The record is from RNAcentral.